GUAAUUUUGUUAUUCAAUUAUGUUAGUAUUUAUUUUAUGAGUAAUUAUCUUAUGAGACCCUUCCACACUCAUGUAUGCUGGACUUCAAAGGAUCAACCAUUAAAUUUGGCAUAGAUCUUUAGAAAAGUUAUCACAUGACUGUGAAAUUUGACUUUCUUAGAGAUCUGUGUCAAAUUUAAUGGUAAUCUUUUGGGGUCCUACACACAUGGGUGAGGAGGAUCUUACAAGGUCAUUUCUCUUGUUUUAUUUAGGUGAUUUGGAAUUUAUAUAUAAUUUAUGGUUAUUAC
This 287-nucleotide microRNA precursor is filed under the name Amborella trichopoda. RNAcentral describes it as "miR8565h stem-loop (atr-MIR8565h)". The stretch from base 62 to 216 matches the Rfam family "MIR8565 microRNA precursor family". The record is from miRBase by way of RNAcentral. Lineage: Eukaryota; Viridiplantae; Streptophyta; Magnoliopsida; Amborellales; Amborellaceae.